ACUGAGCGGCGGACGGGUGAGUAACGCGUGGGUAACCUGCCUCGUACAGGGGGAUAACAGUUGGAAACGGCUGCUAAUACCGCAUAAGCGCACAGUACCGCAUGGUACGGUGUGAAAAACUCCGGUGGUAUGAGAUGGACCCGCGUCUGAUUAGGUAGUUGGUGGGGUAACGGCCCACCAAGGCGACGAUCGGUAGCCGGACUGAGAGGUUGAACGGCCACAUUGGGACUGAGACACGGCCCAG
RNAcentral lists this ribosomal RNA (244 nucleotides) under uncultured bacterium. RNAcentral's name for it is "partial 16S ribosomal RNA". It matches the Rfam family "Bacterial small subunit ribosomal RNA", at positions 90 to 334 of the family's 1533-position model. The record is from RNAcentral.